Molecule: long non-coding RNA, 251 nt
Organism: Sphaeramia orbicularis (orbiculate cardinalfish)
Lineage: Eukaryota; Metazoa; Chordata; Actinopteri; Kurtiformes; Apogonidae
Exons: 3
Source: RefSeq, a predicted model, not a curated record
CCAACCUCUGUCACUGAGGUUAAAGGGGCCAAUACAGAGGAUUAAGAACUAGGUAUGUAAACUUUUGAUUAGGGUCAUUUGAAUAGUUUCUGUUAUUAGUAUGAUUUAAAAAGAGCAAACACAUUUGUCUGAUAAUAAAUGGCUUCACCUAACCAUGAGCCACGAGUGAAAGAAAAGUCUUUGUAUUCUCAUUCAUAUUCUCUGGAAAAUGGCCAAAGAAUCACGAAUUCUGCUAGAAUAUGUAAACUUAU